UGUAUGGCAGCUAGCUCAUUGUAAGAGAUGCCAUCUUUACUUCAACAUUUAUUUUAGGUCAUUUUUAAGCUCUAACAUGUUUGACAAAGCCCCCUGAAUAAAGCAAUCCAUCGACUAUUGUGAGAACGAAUUAGACUGAAAAAAAAAGGGACUCCAGAAAGGGCAAAAAAAAUCCAAAAUCAUUCUACAAAAAGCUGAUACUUUUGUAUGUAACUGCUAACAUAUACAGUACCUUAAUCACAGUGACCUCGUGUUCUAGUGCUUUACCCUAAGGCACAGUAACACAUACUUCCACAGCCCGAUAACAGUAGCCAAAAAACCUAUGCAAAGUAUUCAAAACUAAUAGAAUAUUGCAAAGUAAGAAUAACUCUGAUCAUUCACAACAGGUUGAUCCACUAUA
Molecule: long non-coding RNA, 400 nt
Organism: Rhodamnia argentea
Lineage: Eukaryota; Viridiplantae; Streptophyta; Magnoliopsida; Myrtales; Myrtaceae
Exons: 2
Source: RefSeq, a predicted model, not a curated record